Molecule: microRNA precursor, 79 nt
Organism: Schistosoma mansoni
Lineage: Eukaryota; Metazoa; Platyhelminthes; Trematoda; Strigeidida; Schistosomatidae
Rfam family: mir-3492 microRNA precursor family
Source: Rfam
AGCCUUCUGUAUUCUGCUGAGAUUUUGACACACUCGACAGAACAAAAGGGCUGAUGAGACUCCCAAGAUAUGUGAGGCU